GUGCUCACUUCGGUAGCACAUACACUAAAACUGAAACAAUACAGAGAAAAUUAGCAUGGCUCCUGCGCAAAAAUAACAUGCAAAUUCAUGGGGAGUUCCAUUAGUUU
This 107-nucleotide small nuclear RNA is filed under the name Aotus nancymaae (Ma's night monkey). Lineage: Eukaryota; Metazoa; Chordata; Mammalia; Primates; Aotidae. The record is from RNAcentral.